Long non-coding RNA from Xiphophorus maculatus (southern platyfish), 7644 nucleotides. RefSeq lists it as uncharacterized. The transcript has 3 exons. The record is from RefSeq and is a predicted model, not a curated record. Lineage: Eukaryota; Metazoa; Chordata; Actinopteri; Cyprinodontiformes; Poeciliidae.
GCUGUUGGAUCGCAAAAUUGUUAUAUUUUCUAUCCCUUUAUCGGGGAAAUAACUCGCUCAUCUUGCAGUAUUCUGCCUGUUUUCCCACUCUCGCUACAAAGCGGUUAAAAGAAUGUUGCCAGGGAAAUGUCUCAAAUCAGAGACAUUACCGUAGAAAUUGGCAAGAGUCGGAAAUUCACAACGGCGGAUCGAACAGCAGUCGAAGAUGCAAGAUCCAACCCGCCGACCCGGUCCGUCUGUGUACACAGCCAGGAUUUUCCGGCGCCGGUGCUGAACCGGCUGCCCGUCUGAGGGGUGGAUAUUUUUUACAGUGUAGGUUUCUACGACUGGAGGGGGCUUGGGAGGAGAGUGGGAGGGGGGCUCUGACAGGCACAAUUUACAUUGAGCUCGCCCCGCGCUGCUAUUUACUUUGAAACCUGAUUAGUAUGGGCCGUCUAUUGUCACCAAAAAGAGGAAGAAACCCUGGAUAGAAUAGCGAAAAAAGCGGGUUAAAGGCGAGAGAGAGAGAAACAGAGAGAGAGAGCGAGAGAGAGAGAGAGAAAGAGAGAGAGGAGGUGGGGGACAAAGCUUUUAAGCACGACAAAUAAAACCAAAAGCUUUGCGCUGCGACCAAAAGGGGGGAUUCUGACUCAGAUUUUUUCCCCCCUUAAAGUUUCAGAAUGCCUUGUCUCGGACUGUUAUCUUUAUUAUUAAACUAACGGGGGUCUCUGCUGUUGGGAGCGGAUUAAUAUUUUCACACGCUGUUUUUUGUCCUUGGCAUGCGCAUUGCGGUACAGCAUCGUCUGUAAUCGGCACCAGUUUCGCUCAUUAAAACUUAAAAUUUAGUUUAAGAGCAGUUUAGGGGAAAAAAAAAACCAUCACUGUGCAGAAUGAUGCGCAAACGCCGCCGUUGUGCUGGAAGCCUUUUCAGAUGCGGGGGAAUCUCUUGAAAUUCGGAGCGACGUUUAACAAUUGCCAACAUCUCACAGUCGCACAACCACUUCAAUAGGAGUAGUUUUUUUUUAUGUGUGUGUUAAUAAUGACAUUAAUUCAAAAUCGAGCGAAGUUACGGGGAAUUUGCACGGAGAUUCCAGCUUUUAUGCAUCAGUGUUUCUGAAGGCGUCUCAGACUCAAAAAUGUCUGGAUCGCGCUGCCAUCUAGCGUACGUUGUGCAAUUACAUCCACAUAACACCCCAACGUGCAAGCCAUCAAACUUGCAUUUUUAAGCGCUUAAAUAGAUCUUAGAUAAUAAUUAAAAAGCUCGAACGUGCGUAGAAUUGUCUUGUGUACUUUUAUAGUUCAUAAAAAGUGAAUUUCACAGGUUAAAGAUAUCGGAAGACAUUAAUAAAUUAUUAAGAAAACAUGAACAUGCAUUGAUUAGAGUAUCAUAAUUCAUAAUUAAUGUUUAAACAGUGCUUCCUAAUUAAAAUGACGCUCUGUUUAUAUAAAACCAAGAUGCAAAAAAUUCCAGUUGUAUCCAUAAGCUUAGGAAAUAAUAACGCAACACUCAAAUACAUAAAAGUACUUUAACACAACAAAGCACGCAUAAGCACGUCUAGACUCAAACAGAGAUAUAAGGAGAUAUAACAUAGCGUUAAUAUAUGGAAGUGCCUCUGUUUGAAUGCGCAUUCAGGAGGGAUGGCUUGUUUUUUAAGUAUUCAAUAAGAGCGCUCUCUCUCCCCGUCCCUGUCUCGGACACACACCGUGGAAACUCUCCGGCCAUGUCUCCAGCAUUCUGAAAAGGUGAAACCAAUAAGAUUAAAUCGGACAAUGCAUUUUUUUUUGCCCCCUUUCUUCCCCCUUUGGUGUAUCAUUAAGAUUUAACUCCGCACAUUUUGGUAAAAGAAUGGGGGUCCGCAUGAGGGAAGAAGAGGAGAGAGAAGAGAGGACAAGAGUGAGAGGGGGAAGCGAAUAGGAAGCGGGGUAGAUAUAUUAGAGAGGCUCUGAUAGAAACCUGCAUGUGGAGAAAGUGGACGGGUGGGAUGUUGGAAGAAGGAGAAGAAGCACCGGUGCAGGAGCGGCUGCUGUGCAGUCACAGAGAAGGCUCACAGCGCUGUAGCUGCAGGAGGCGUCCGAACAAACGCUGAAGGAGGACUGAGAUGCUGGGAUGGGGUUUUCCUUAAUGCUGUUUGAUUUUAGGAAGAGGUUGUCCCUAUUUAGUAGGACAGGGGUUUAUGUGCUGGAUAAAUUGAGGAUUAAAAUUUGAUUCAUCCUUAUUGCCCUUUAGAAAUCCCAUUUCCAAUUUUAUAUUGGCUUCUUUGAAAUUAAGAUGUGGAAAAGAGUGUAGUUUGAUUUUCUGGGAAUCUAACAUCAGCGACUUUCACGGCAGGAAUCCAAAAUGAAAUUAUUUUGAAGUGAUAGUGAUAUAAAUGUAAAAACCUAUCAUGGACUCUGCUGGUUUAACUGUGACAAGAUUAAAAGAAUCAGUGACAAAAUAAUAGCUUUACAAAGUUUGUUUAUACCUUUUACUUGUUGUAAGCACAUAAGUGACAUGAUAUGAAAACAACACAAAUUUCCGUAAUCUCUUCUAGAAAUGCACCAAUCAGGAUUUUCUGACGAUAUUGAAUUUCAAUUUUGGUCAAUUGUUCUGAUCUGCCAAUAUUUAUUUAUUUUUUUUUCGUAUUCCAAUUUUUUCUGGUCAGUUCUGUGACAGAUCAUAGAGGAAUAGUGUCGUUUGAUGGAGAUAGUAAUUUUGAAUUCAAUAGAAAGCAAAGAAUUAAAAAAAUAAUCAAACAUUUCCCCCUUUUUUGUUCCUAUCAAACUCCAAAAAGUUCCUCUUUAUGGAGGGUUUAAGUUGAUGUCUUUAUAGAGUGAAAAUGGUGUGAGUUUAUACCUGUGAUAGUUGGGUAUAAACUCACACAGCGGAAAAGUUAUUAAGUCAGAUUUCCCCUGAAUCUGACUUUUUUCUACUAUUGAACGUUAAUAGUAGAAUACUGUGAUUAUAUAUUGGGCAACGCAAGCGCUAACAUCAUUCUCACUUGAUUUCAAGAUUUUCACUCUGAAUCCCAUUCACAAUUUUACAUUCCUUUUUUUUCCAUCAUGUAAAUUAUUGGACUUAUUUCACGCUUUAUGGCUGGAAAUGACUCAAGGUGUUCCACAGCACAAAGUAAGAGACUACAGUUUGCUUUAGCCCCAUCGCAACAGAUCAGGAAAAACAAGCAGAGAAUGACCAUUAUUGAUGAUUUGUGCAGACGGACCUCAGACGAUCUUGAAUUAUGUGUGAGAGCAAAAGAUAGACACUUGCACAUUGCUGUGUUUACUUCGGCCUUGUGUAUGUGUGUGUGUGUCAGUUUUCCCUCAGAUGUUCCUUGUGACCUUUGACUCUGGAGCCGGGGUCAAACCCUGACAAAUGAGACGGUUGAGCUCUGAGCAGAGCAGCAAACAUUCCACAACCAUCUUCUGUCCUCCUUCUCCUACUCCUUACAUCACUCACCCCUCUCUCUCCAUCUCCUCUUUAAGCACGACGGGAGCAAAUAAUGUUUAAAACUAACAAUGAUGAUAUUGGAUAAGUUUUACAACUGCCUUUUUAUAUUAAAUCAGAGAAAUCGUGUGAUCUGAGAGAAGUAAAUGCUGCUAAAGAGUUGAAAUUUUACAACUAUGCACUUUAACAACACACUCCCUGUUGUGUCUAUGAGUGUAUGUGCGUGUGCGUACAUGCGCGUGCAUGUGUGUGUGGAAAGACUGUCAGUGAUGUCAAGGAUGAGAAAUGUUGCUGUGAGGUUUUUUACACACGCUGCUGGCUCCAGCAUUUCCGGCAACAUUUCUCACUCUGCCUCCCUCACACCAUCCGCUCUCCUGCAAUAUCCCGACAUUUUUCCGUCCUUUCCGUUCUCUUCCCUGCACCCUCCCCUCCUCACUUUCAAUCCCCACUUCAAACUUCCUCUCCUUGUGCCAUCCUACUCAUCCUAAUCUCAGCCCUUUUCCUUUCUCUCUCUCUUUCUCUCUCUCUCUCUCGCUCGCUUUCUCUCUCACACGCACACUCUCUCCACCCACUAUACUCUCUGAUUUGCUUGACACAGAAUGCAACCACCUGUGUCUUUAGGAUGAAUGUGAGGAGUUAUCCACCUUACUCCAGUGAGAGCUGGUUAAGGCAGAAUGCCAGCGUCUGCCGCUUCCCACCUUUUUCCCCGAGACUCGCUGCUGUAAUAGACGGUAAUGGCCUAAGACAAAUCAACCCCUUUUCUUGUAAAAAUAGCACCAAAUAACCCAACCCACCUUAACAGCUUGCACUCUACUUGGAAGCACAUCAGGUGGUGGUGCAGUGGCAGUGGUGGGUACCGGGAGAGGCCAGUGUAUGUGUGCGGGGGGUCUGUUCAAUUUAUCCUCAUAUUCAGUUUCUAUCACUCUAUCUGGCUACAUUUCGGUACCACCCUCCCUCUUCAUUCAGAGCCGAGGCCAGAGGAGACCCUCCUGUCGCUUUAACAAAGCCAUAAGUCUGCCAUACUUACUGCUCCCUCUCAGGCUUCACAAUGGAUGGGUAAUGGCAGCGCUGUCUGGAGGGGGCUGCGGGAGUUGGGCCAUUCUCUCCAGUAAUGGAAGCUGUUACUGCCAUUCCUUACACACCUGCAAGAACAGCUAACUGCUAACCACUGUGAUCUAUUGCAGAGGCCUCAUUGCACCGGGCUAAGGUUGAAGGGUUGUACUGACACCAGUGAAUUAGGGCACAUCCUUCCCCCCGGCCCCUGCCUGUCUUCCCUUUCUAUUUCACACCAAAACCUAUGGAGGAGCAAUGGAGAUAUUUCCAAGCAAAUCUAUAGCCCCAGAGUCCACAUUGGUGCAGCUUUCAGCCUCACAUACUGGCGAUCUAGCAUUCCUGACAUCCGCUGAUUUAACACAGACAUAAGAUGCUGUCACAUCUUUACUACUCUGUCACUGCCUUGAACGAUGGGAAAUCCAAACUGCCUGUAACAUUAAGAACACCACUACAGGCUGACUGUCCUUGAAUGCUUUCCAGUCCCGCAGAGAUUUAUGAGCUGAACCGCAUCCAUUAAUCCACUGUUGAUUUGCUGUGGCUACCCUGCGGGGUUUUUGGGGAUCAGAUAUCAUACAGUGCUGAAACUCACCCUGUUGUGCAAGACGGUGGAAAGCAGCUCUUUUACAAGAGCUGAAAAAAAAAUGAAUGGAUAAAUUUAAAAUUCAUUGCAUAUUCUACGUCUCUGCAUGUUCAACCUGAUAGAUACGGGCUUAUGACAGAAAAACACUGUCACUUAGAUUAUAAAUGAGAAUGUAAAACAGAGUGAUGAGCCAUACAAACCUCAGUAUGGGUGAGUGAAAGCUGAUGCACGAUGCAAUAAUGACCCAGGCUUAGGGGAAAUCUCAUUGGCUCCCUGCAAUCAAUUUAACCAUGUUUACAAAGCUACAAUCUAAGGUUUGUGGUUGAAAGAGAGAGAGGGAGACAGAAAGAGAGAGAACACUGGUCACCUGGUGCUCUUCUGGUUAAGCUGGCCUCUCUUGGGUAAACCCUCCAUAAAGCCCCCUCUUGUCUGACACCACCAGGCCCUUCAAACACUCCUCUCAGACAGGGAGGAUUAGGUAAUCUCGACAUGAUACUGUCUUUUUUCUCCAUUUCUAUCAUUUUCUCUCCCUCUCUUUGACACUGGCUCGCCUUCCCCUUCAUUCUCAUACAUUACAUCCUAACUCCCUCUCUCCAGGCUGUUGAAGAGCUUGUUCUGCUCUGGACACAUCUAUCCUCGGGGGCCCUUACGAUCUUAAGUGCCUCCGGAAAAGGUUAGUUGGCAGGUAAUUGUCCAGUUGUGGCUCAGCUUAUCUUAAUUGUGGGUGCUUCAGUGCAACCUAUACUUCCGUUAAUGAAGAGACUUAUGUGACAUAAAGUUAGAGGACAGGAUGAUGGGAGGAUGAAGGUAUUUACAAUUUUAUGUGCAUCUUCUUGCUCAGUUUUUAUGUUUUCUUCCUCCUGAAUUACACCCUUGUAUAUUUUAAGCAGAUGCAAGAGGACAGAGCCCAGCAAAAAUAUUUGUUCCCCUUUAUUACAUUACAACCACAAGUCUCGGUGAAUAUUGAGGGGAUUUUAUAUGAUAGACCAACACAAUGCAGUACAUAAUGUGAACUGGAAUUAAAAUGAUAAAUGGUUUUGAAAGUUCUUGUAACUUGAAAGCUGUAGUGUGCAUUUGUAUUCAAUCGCCUUAUCAAGUCUUACCAGCUUCUAUGUUUUCCACUUGUUGACUGCAUCUCCCACAUGGAUGUCAGAAAACAGAAAAUAUGAUUGCUUUCUAUUUACAAUAGUUUUCUUGUUGCUACUCUUCUAUAUUUGUGGAGUGCCUGACAUAUAACUGUGCUGUGGUCCUGUGGGAGAUGCGGAUCUCUGCAGUUGCCACAGAGUUUCCACCUCUUAGCUAUUAGCUGUCUGGUGUGUUUCCUGAUCUUCAUGACGCUGCUUGGUCACUGAUCUUCCUAAGAAGAACUUUGAAAGCUUCAGUUCAAUUAAAAUCAACUCAGCUAAUUUCUAUAGUACCAUUUUACAACAUGCCAUCUCGAGGCACUUGACAAAAAAGGCAAUUCAAUUCAGUUAUACAUACGUAGCCCGGAUAGUAAAAACAUAAGAGAUGUAUAAGAUAAUAAAUAGCAAGGAUAAGUUCAUUUAUUAUAUCCUUUUAUUUCAAUUAACAUUUCAAAGUUUAUACAAAGUUAGUAAAAAUAUGUUUGCAUUGUUUAAAAUAAGUUAUCUUUACUUUGAGGGGAAUUGCCAGCGAAAAUUGUAUUUUACAGGAGCACGGUCUUUGAAGGUAGCAUAGGUGGAAGACAAAAUAAACAGCGAAGAAGAAAAAAAGAAUUUGAGCGAGAGGUGAUAGCAGAGGAGGAGCAGUUAGCUGGUUUAGAAGUGAGUAAGCUCAGACUUGACGUAAGGAGAAGUUAUAAGAUACAGUAUGCAAGUUAGCAGGACACAGUAGAGUUUCAACGAGAAGCUGUCGGACUGAAUGUUUGUUUUCUUUGCCGCUGUAUUUACUGAGUUAGAGCGAAGCUAGCCUAGCUGUUAGCUAACAUGGACUAAUGUAGGCCGCUGUUUUGCUGCUAGAGUGGAACUUAAAGGGCUACAGAAGAUCGUUACCGGACUGGAUAACGAGAGACGGACUCCAGAUAGUCACUCUGAGCGCCCACGUCCCUCAGAGUACCUCUGGCAACGUGGGAACUGAGGGCCAGUAGAUGUGGAGCACAUGGAAACCACACAACUGCAUCAUUCCUGAACUGCUGUUCUUCGGAUCGCUUUGAGGUUCUUCUGGACACAGGACGAAGUAUUGCCCGGAUUCAUCUGUGGAAAAUCACGAUUACACAAGGUACUGAGUUGUACUUUAAUAUUUUUGCUCAUUGAGUGAAGAGGCUGUGGACCGUGGAGUCGGUGGGACUCCUACAUUCAUGAGGAUCUGAACAGGCCUGCAACGUAGGAUAUACUUUCUGCCGGCAUUAGGUUUAGUUUUACAGUAGUGGGUUAUAUAACUGGUGUUUUACACUGUAUAUGCAGAUUCAUUGUUUUGUUGGAACAAUGCUCUGUUUUUUUUCUGUUUGCCUAAUUAAAGGAGGGUUACUGUGGUCUACUUUACAUGGUGUGUAGUGUAAUUUACUGUAGUAUUGUUCAAUGUUGAUUGAUCCAAAAGCAUUAAAGAGAUAUUCAUAUUAAAUAGUAGAGAGUAUACUGAAGCAAAGAACCCA